AACGAACGCUGGCGGCAGGCCUAACACAUGCAAGUCGAGCGCACCUUCGGGUGAGCGGCGGACGGGUUAGUAACGCGUGGGAACAUACCCUUUUCUACGGAAUAGCCUCGGGAAACUGAGAGUAAUACCGUAUAAGCCCUUCGGGGGAAAGAUUUAUCGGGAAAGGAUUGGCCCGCGUUAGAUUAGAUAGUUGGUGGGGUAAUGGCCUACCAAGUCUACGAUCUAUAGCUGGUUUUAGAGGAUGAUCAGCAACACUGGGACUGAGACACGGCCCAGACUCCUACGGGAGGCAGCAGUGGGGAAUCUUAGACAAUGGGCGCAAGCCUGAUCUAGCCAUGCCGCGUGUGUGAUGAAGGUCUUAGGAUCGUAAAGCACUUUCGCCAGGGAUGAUAAUGACAGUACCUGGUAAAGAAACCCCGGCUAACUCCGUGCCAGCAGCCGCGGUAAUACGGAGGGGGUUAGCGUUGUUCGGAAUUACUGGGCGUAAAGCGUACGUAGGCGGAUUGGAAAGUUGGGGGUGAAAUCCCAGGGCUCAACCCUGGAACUGCCUCCAAAACUAUCAGUCUAGAGUUCGAGAGAGGUGAGUGGAAUUCCAAGUGUAGAGGUGAAAUUCGUAGAUAUUUGGAGGAACACCAGUGGCGAAGGCGGCUCACUGGCUCGAUACUGACGCUGAGGUACGAAAGUGUGGGGAGCAAACAGGAUUAGAUACCCUGGUAGUCCACACCGUAAACGAUGAAUGCCAGUCGUCGGGCAGUAUACUGUUCGGUGACACACCUAACGGAUUAAGCAUUCCGCCUGGGGAGUACGGUCGCAAGAUUAAAACUCAAAGGAAUUGACGGGGGCCCGCACAAGCGGGUGGAGCAUGUGGUUUAAUUCGAAGCAACGCGCAGAAACCUACCAACCCCUGACAUCCUGUGCUAACCCGAAAGAUCGGGCGUUCCCUUCGGGGAAGCAGUGACAGGGGCUGGAUGGCUG
RNAcentral lists this ribosomal RNA (975 nucleotides) under uncultured bacterium. RNAcentral's name for it is "bacterial SSU rRNA". It matches the Rfam family "Bacterial small subunit ribosomal RNA", at positions 28 to 1051 of the family's 1533-position model. The record is from RNAcentral.